RNAcentral lists this ribosomal RNA (577 nucleotides) under uncultured bacterium. RNAcentral's name for it is "partial 16S ribosomal RNA". It matches the Rfam family "Bacterial small subunit ribosomal RNA", at positions 355 to 921 of the family's 1533-position model. The record is from RNAcentral.
UGGGGAAUAUUGCACAAUGGGCGCAAGCCUGAUGCAGCCAUGCCGCGUGUGUGAAGAAGGCCUUCGGGUUGUAAAGCACUUUCAGCGAGGAGGAAGGUGGUGAGCUUAAUACGCUCAUCAAUUGACGUUACUCGCAGAAGAAGCACCGGCUAACUCCGUGCCAGCAGCCGCGGUAAUACGGAGGGUGCAAGCGUUAAUCGGAAUUACUGGGCGUAAAGCGCACGCAGGCGGUUUGUUAAGUCAGAUGUGAAAUCCCCGGGCUCAACCUGGGAACUGCAUUUGAAACUGGCAAGCUAGAGUCUCGUAGAGGGGGGUAGAAUUCCAGGUGUAGCGGUGAAAUGCGUAGAGAUCUGGAGGAAUACCGGUGGCGAAGGCGGCCCCCCUGGACGAAGACUGACGCUCAGGUGCGAAAGCGUGGGGCAGCAAACAGGAUUAGAUACCCUGGUAGUCCAGCGCUGUAAACGAUGUCGAUUUGGAGGUUGUGCCCUUGAGGCGUGGCUUCCGGAGCUAACGCGUUAAAUCGACCGCCUGGGGAGUACGGCCGCAAGGUUAAAACUCAAAGGAAUUGACGGGGUCU